AUUCGAUUCUAAUCUCCGACCCAUUUGUGAAACAUCACAUGACGUUGGAAGUAUCACAGAGAAAACGCCAAGCGGAUGUCUGCGAACCCUGGAAAGCAUCAACAAGCAUCAAGAAAUAGCUCGACAUCUUCCAGCAGAGGAGACUCCGACUGGCUGGCCACGUCGUCAGAAUGGAGAAUCAGCAUGAAUACGUUUAUCCAAGACCUAUGGACAUUGAAUAUCAAGUGGGGUGACGCUGAGAUCCUGGCCGGAGACUGGAAAUGUUGGUUGGAACAGGCCCCGUCCACGGCUGGUGAUGGACUCUGCCCUAUUAGCAUAGCUCCUCCCCUGAGUGAGCUGCACACAUUCUGCCAUGUUUUCUGCACUGGAGCAGCUACAGUGAUUCUUCAUGUACUCCCGGCAUCAGAGCCACUGGAGGCACAGUGGAGAUGUUUUAUUUUUGAAGGAAAUAUGGCCCCAAAAAUUGUAUGUUUGUGUGAAUCAUUUUAUACCAGAC
Molecule: long non-coding RNA, 496 nt
Organism: Ictalurus punctatus (channel catfish)
Lineage: Eukaryota; Metazoa; Chordata; Actinopteri; Siluriformes; Ictaluridae
Source: Ensembl